RNAcentral lists this ribosomal RNA (398 nucleotides) under uncultured bacterium. Its description in RNAcentral is "bacterial SSU rRNA". It matches the Rfam family "Bacterial small subunit ribosomal RNA", at positions 358 to 774 of the family's 1533-position model. The record is from RNAcentral.
GGAAUAUUGGACAAUGGGGGCAACCCUGAUCCAGCCAUGCCGCGUGAGUGUUAAGGCCUUCGGGUUGUAAAGCUCUUUUGUAUGGGAAAAUGAUGAUGGUACCAUAAGAAUAAGCACCGGCUAACUUCGUGCCAGCAGCCGCGGUAAUACGAAGGGUGCAAGCGUUGUUCGGAAUUACUGGGCGUAAAGGGCGCGUAGGCGGAUAAGUUAGUCAGGAGUGAAAUCCCGGGGCUCAACCUCGGAACUGCUUUUGAAACGGCUUAUCUUGAGUGUGACAGGGGAUGAUGGAAUACCCAGUGUAGAGGUGAAAUUCGUAGAUAUUGGGUAGAACACCAGAGGCGAAGGCGGUCAUCUGGGUCACUACUGACGCUGAGGCGCGAAAGCGUGGGGAUCAAACA